UUUAUGUUUAUCGGCAAUUAGUGACAACACAUAUUAAUCGGCGCUUGUUUUGACCAACACGACGGAAGAUUAUCAGGACGAACGAUAAAACAGCCAGGAGUAAAUAGCAAUUAAAGAGAGAAAGGUCAAUUAAGUCCAUUCGGAAACGGAUCAAUUCAGCCUUUCCGGAUCAUGUAAGUCCCUGUGGAUUUACUUAAAAUUAUGUAAUUUUAACUUCCUUUCUAGAAGAAUCGAGAAUUAAGGUAUCCGACCCACAUUAGCGGAUUUUUAUAAAAUGUAAAUCAAGGUGUGUAUUAUGACCGUAAUUGAUGCUAAAAGAUAUAUCUAUGUUUUUUAUUGAAAAUUUACCGCAAAAUUACCUUAUAUUAUCAAUUAUUUAUAUUUCCCAACAUUUUUCAAUUAUGCUGCAACUUUUUUUCAAAUAAUGAAAUAAAAUAAGAAAUAAAUAGACAUUUAAAGUUUUCUUUUAUUAUUAUAGCAUAAUUUUUAUUUUAAAACACUUCUAACAUCAAAAAGACAGACUGACUAUGAGAAAACAUGAAAAAUAGAAAAAUAAAAAUUCAAGUGCAAAAAGGUGAAAUGUACAAAAUUGCUAUUUUUAAAAAAAAUGAUGCAGAAAUUUCACAAAUAUUUUGCUGCAAAUGAAGUUCAAUCCCUAUAUUUUUGUUUAGCACAAUUAUAAAGAUAUUUACCGUAGAAAACUUUAAAUAUGCUAUGUUGAACACCCCCACCCCCAAUACAAAAAUUCAAGUGCAAAACGGCGAAAUGUACAAAAUCGCUGUUUUUAAAAAAAAGAUAAUGUAAACUUUUCACAAAUAAUGUACUGCAAAUGAAGUUCAAUCCCUAUAUUUUUGUUUACCACAAUUAUAAAGACAUUUACCAUAGGAAACUUACAUUAUGCUAUGUUGAACCACAUCCCCCCCCCCCCCCCCCCCCCCACCCCAUACAAAAAUCUUAACAUUGAAAAGUUAGGUGGGUAAAUUUGCUGAGAGUAGAAUAUUGCUAAUAUUUUUUUAUUUUUUUUUAUUUUUUUUUUGACAUAUACUGCUGUUGUUUUUUUAAUCUUCGUUGUAGCUGAAGAUGAUCAGUGGUGUCAGCUUUCAUUCCGGACUACGUCGCGGUGGUGAAUGCUGUUUGAUUGUAUUCCUCAACGUAGUUGGAUGAGUGCAACACAUUCUUAAGCUCAUUACAUUGUUUUGAGAUUGAACUGUUGAUUUGGAAUUUGUACUUUGAACUUUGAACUUGACUAUUCAGCAUUGAAUGAUACUUGACAUUCGGCAUUGAACUGUAUUUUUAUUUAUUUAUUUAUUUUACUAUUGAUUGUUUAUUGUUUUGGUGACGUUCAUGCACUUGUGACAUACCCAGUGCAUGAUCCGCCCAAUUUGGGGCCGUCUCAUAUUUUGUAUUGAUUGAUUGAUUGUUAUUGAGGGGCAGCCAUGUGGUAACCCCUGCAAGUAAUCACCACGGCCAGAAGCGCCAUAAUCAACUAGUAUAAACACAUGUCUUGUGUAUAUAUUUAGAGAAUCUGAAAUAAAUCAUAAUACAAUGUACAUGUUCAAU
This is a long non-coding RNA of Ostrea edulis (European flat oyster), 1560 nucleotides long. RefSeq lists it as uncharacterized. The record is from RefSeq and is a predicted model, not a curated record. The transcript is spliced from 2 exons. Lineage: Eukaryota; Metazoa; Mollusca; Bivalvia; Ostreida; Ostreidae.